CGCGGGGUAGAGCAGUUUGGUAGCUCGUCGGGCUCAUAACCCGGAGGUCGUGAGGUUCAAAUCCCACCCCCGCUACCA
This 78-nucleotide transfer RNA is filed under the name Clostridiales bacterium. RNAcentral describes it as "tRNA-Met". It matches the Rfam family "tRNA". Rfam says of the family: Transfer RNA (tRNA) molecules are approximately 80 nucleotides in length. Their secondary structure includes four short double-helical elements and three loops (D, anti-codon, and T loops). The record is from RNAcentral. Lineage: Bacteria; Bacillati; Bacillota; Clostridia; Eubacteriales. RNAcentral also lists the same sequence under 1 other name.